This 1534-nucleotide long non-coding RNA is filed under the name Coturnix japonica (Japanese quail). RNAcentral describes it as "lncRNA (ENSCJPG00005020598.1)". The record is from RNAcentral. Lineage: Eukaryota; Metazoa; Chordata; Aves; Galliformes; Phasianidae.
AGUACCUGACUUUGCAGAUAAGCAGAGUCAGGGCAGUGCCUUGGAGCAUUCAUCUCUGGAGUGAAGCUGUUAUCAUCAUCUAUUUAAGAAAAAAAAAUGGUGAUUUCAAGAUGGCUCAGGAGUUGAGUCACUUAAUUGCUGCCAAAUCAUUGGCAUUUGGGAGCCUGACAGCAAUGAGAGGUGGUUAGCCACUCUUUGUAAAUAUAAACCCCUGCACAUGGCAUCUCUAGUUCGCUCCCAUUCCCUUACUCUGGAGGAGCUGAACUGCUGCAGACUGAUGCAUUUGCACUUUUGUGAUGCCCACUAUGUCUCUGAUCUUAAGGGACACUUUGAGGGAUGCUGUCAUGGCGCUGCUAUGGAAGGUCCCCUUUCUGAUUCUUGUUUCCCAGUUCACCCAGAGGCUGGAGAUACCCAGAGGUUAUGGAACAUGGCUGAGGAUGAUCCUCAAGAAGCCUGUCCAGCAGGUAUGCCUGUGUCUGGAUGAGAUAGAGAGCAAUUUACCGAUUUCAUCCACACGAUGGAUGUGGAGGAGAAGCCAUAGAGGAUGAUACCCAACCAGAAACACGCUGCAGUUUUGUUGUGAAUAUCCAGGAAGUCUCUGCAGUGCAGAUGUGACAGCAACAGCAAAACUUAUUUCAAGGUCCCAUCCCAUGAAGAGGCUGUGAGUAUCAGCAACCACACAAAAGAACUUGCAGAGGGGGGUGGGGAAGUGUCUUUAAAAUGACAAACAUCAUCGUCUGUCCUGGUGGAAUGUGGUAACUAUUUGUGGAUCCCACUGCCUAAACCCCAUCAAAGUUAGAGCGUAGCACUGCUAUCUAUUGUUAUUCUGUGUGAUGGUUUGUUUCUUUUUUUUUCCCCCCUAAAUGUUUCCAGCAUGUUGGCUGAUAGUACCAAAACCCUGCAAUUCUUAGAAAGUGUUGCUUUGGUUUGUUAAGCAGAGUCAUGAAUACAAGUAUUCCUGACUUCUGAGACUGAAGGAUGUGUAUGAGUAGAUGAAGCACAAUAGGAUUAUUAUAAUCCUUGUUACCAGAGGAACCAGCCUGAGUUUCACCUGCCUGCUCCUCGGGUCCUUUGUAACCUGGUAGAAUGGCUUUGUUGGGAAUGAAGAGCAUCAGGAUCUGAGAUGCCUAAGAGCUGACAUACUUAGAGUUGCUCUGUUUGGGGUGGCAUCUCUUUGUAAGUGUGGUGGUUACCUUACUUUUUCACUUCAUGUCACUGUGGGGAACAGAUCAACCAAUGGUUCCGUUAGGCUGGAAAAAUAAGAAAGUUACCAACAGAGAUGUUGAGGAGUAGCCUUUAAACACAAGUAGUGGUAAUAAUAUCUGAACUCUUUUUAGAACAUAGAUCAAUUAAUUAAUGAGAUACCAUGCCCAGGAUCUCUAGUGAUCUUAAUUAGUGUUAAUAGCUUUACAAAAGAUUUUAAAUCUGAUAAGCAUUGAAGGCAAUUUCACUAUAUAGGUCUUGGAUCUGUGUUGUCUUCUAGUAUAGCAGCAGUAUAAAUAAACUGAAUUGUGCUUCUGGAAAAGAAGAAUUG